CUUUCAACCAACUGCCAAUCGGGACAUCUUUGAAUCCACCUAUGACCUGAAGUUCCCCUGUGCAUGUUCUCCUGCCUGCCACCACAUAAGAUGUGCCUUUGUUCUUCCUUUGCCUCCGGCCAUGAUUUUGAGGACUCCCCAGCCAUGCUGAACUAAACUCGGACCCCACCAAAUGGAUCUGCUGGCACACAGACCUCAGAUAUGGAGGGACCGAGAGGACUGGAUUCUUGCUGCUGUGAAAGGAAAAUAAAAACUUGGAACCCCAAAUCUCUGUGCCAAAAGGAAAAAAUUAAGCUGAAAGCUGAGUCAUGCAAGAAGCUGCCUUUUCUUUUGCUCCUAAGCAGAGAGCUACAGAUAAAAGGUUAAAUAUCUCCACAGAUAGCUACUCUACGUUCACCUUAUCUUACGUAAAGUGCUGAUUUACUGAGCACCAGACAGACACAUAAUUGACUGUUCCCCUACCUGCUCCUUUUCUCUUGCAACACGUGGAUUCAGUAAUGUGACCAUACCCUCCUUCUUUCCCCUCCAGUCUGCUUUUCCCCUUUUAAAUAUUGAAGCCCUCAAAAUCACCUUUGGAGAAAGGCACAGACUUGUCUCCUGGGUACAUCCUUAACCUUGGCAAAAUAAACUUUUGAAUUAAUUGAGACCUG
This 650-nucleotide long non-coding RNA is filed under the name Homo sapiens (human). Its description in RNAcentral is "HSALNT0382512". Lineage: Eukaryota; Metazoa; Chordata; Mammalia; Primates; Hominidae. The record is from RNAcentral.